Molecule: ribosomal RNA, 478 nt
Filed under: uncultured bacterium
Lineage: Bacteria
Description: partial 16S ribosomal RNA
Rfam family: Bacterial small subunit ribosomal RNA
Source: RNAcentral
GACGAACGCUGGCGGCGUGCUUAACACAUGCAAGUCGAACGGUAAGGCCCUUCGGGGUACACGAGUGGCGAACGGGUGAGUAACACGUGGGGGAUCUGCCCUGCACUUCGGGAUAAGACUGGGAAAGUGGGUCUAAUACCGGAUAGGACCCUGGGAUGCAUGGCCUGGGGUGGAAAGCUUUUGCGGUGUGGGAUGGGCCCGCGGCCUAUCAGCUUGUUGGUGGGGUGAUGGCCUACCAAGGCGACGACGGGUAGCCGGCCGGAGAGGGUGACCGGCCACACUGGGACUGAGAUACGGCCCAGACUCCUACGGGAGGCAGCAGUGGGGAAUAUUGCACAAUGGGCGCAAGCCUGAUGCAGCGACGCCGCGUGAGGGAUGACGGCCUUCGGGUUGUAAACCUCUUUCAGCACCGACGAAGCGCAAGUGACGGUAGGUGCAGAAGAAGGACCGGCCAACUACGUGCCAGCCGCCGCUGUAA